UGGGGAAUAUUGCACAAUGGAGGAAACUCUGAUGCAGCAACGCCGCGUGAAUGAAGAAGGCCUUCGGGUUGUAAAGUUCUUUUGCAAGGGAAGAUAAUGACGGUACCUUGCGAAUAAGCCACGGCUAACUACGUGCCAGCAGCCGCGGUAAUACGUAGGUGGCAAGCGUUGUCCGGAAUUACUGGGUGUAAAGGGCGAGUAGGCGGGACCAAAAGUCAGAUGUGAAAUGCAAAGGCUUAACCUUUGAGCUGCAUUUGAAACUUUGGUUCUUGAGUGAUGGAGAGGCAGGCGGAAUUCCCGGUGUAGCGGUGGAAUGCGUAGAUAUCGGGAGGAACAUCGGUGGCGAAGGCGGCCUGCUGGACAUUAACUGACGCUGAGGAGCGAAAGCGUGGGGAGCAAACA
The sequence is a ribosomal RNA, 402 nucleotides long. It matches the Rfam family "Bacterial small subunit ribosomal RNA", at positions 355 to 774 of the family's 1533-position model.